Molecule: long non-coding RNA, 428 nt
Filed under: Carica papaya (papaya)
Lineage: Eukaryota; Viridiplantae; Streptophyta; Magnoliopsida; Brassicales; Caricaceae
Description: long non-coding RNA (CPAP_LNC011204)
Source: RNAcentral
CCUUGCCUUGAGAUAUUUAGAAACUACAAAUUAGUGACUGGUGGCAUCUCUGUUCUCGAUGCAAAGAGUAUGACAGAGGAGCAUCUUCCUGUAGCCAUUGACAUUAGUGGAGCUUUCUCCAUGCUUCCAUCAACCUGCCAUUGAAUCAAAGAAAUUAUAUUCUCCAUGAAGAUUUCAUCACAAGGCAAUGUGAUUGGUCCAUCAGUUGAUAGGCCAAAAUCUCGACAUUUUAAAGAGUUAUCUAAUAAUUGGAUUGUUGAGAUAUGCUAUAGGAAAGGCAAACCACCUUUCAUCAGCGGUAUAGAAAACAAAUGACCCUUAUCUGCCGCUGAUGCUGCAUUACUAGCAUUUUCAUUGGCAUUUCUUCUGGCUCUUGGUACCAAAAUUCUUUUUCUCUUGAGUGCUGCUACAUGCUACCACUUUCUUGC